AUGACAGCGUUGCCUAGCUCCUCUCUCAGGCAUGGGAGAAGGUCUCUCUCCUCCUUGUAUUUCUGGGCUUGUGGAGAAUGUGACGCACCGGACCCAACGGGGUGUGACCCUCUGAGACUGGCUUUCUCACGCGAGCACUUUCCAGAGCUGCAGUCGUGCUGGGAUACGGCGUCGAGCACGCGGUCGGGUUCCUUACGUCUGCCCUAUGCCUCCGUUUCUUCACCUGCAAAACGGGGACAAUCCCAUCUAUGUCACAAGGCCGCGGCCUGCAGCUCGGACUGUCGUCAUCUGUCACGACGGAGCUGCUGCUGCCAUCGGUCUUGUCGCCUUGACUCCUCCGGCACAUCGGGCGGUGAGCCCCUUGCGCCUUCGGCCACACCGAAGUCCUGGCCCGGUCCUCGGUCCUCGCGGCCUUGCUGGGCGGGGGAGGGGCUGCAGCUGCAGGACGCCGACCGCAAGGACACUUUGCUGAGAGGGGACGGCCACUUAGAGGAAGGCACUGGAAGAUGGCGCUGCACGGGGCUGGCCUUGCGCUGGGGACCUGGGGACACGCGUUCACACCGUCUGUGGAGAGCGGGUAAAAAUGCUUUGUUGUUCCAUCUGAAUCCCCGACGGCCGCCGUCCAACCUCCAGCGCACGUCGGCUCUGCAGUUAACUGAGCAGAUACUACAGGAUCCAUCUGCACAGCGACGCGCUCCAGCAGGUCCAGCCCGCUCGCCGGGGGAGCUCACCCGGCACUUGGAAUGCGUCCCCCACAGCACACCUCUAACCGAGCAGAAGCAUCUGAUCCCCCAGCUGGAGUGAUGGACUCCAGCAUCCCAGAGGAAUGGAGACUGGGCAAACCCGAGGCAGGAAGACCAGCUUACCAGCCGUGCCCAGGACCUGUGACCUGCCACCUGUGACCUGCCACCUGCGACCUGCAAGAGGUGAUGAGGCCAGCUGAGUGAGAGCUUUCGGAGGCCCAGAAGGAAUCAAUGUUUCCUUGGAUCUGUGACAGUUGACUUCUCCUCCUGGACCCCCACCCUUGAUUGCCUCGAGAAUGAGGCCUCUUACAGCAGUGGUUCUGGUCAGGUAUAAACGUGGGUCCAAGCCUGGCCACGCACAUCCAUCAUCCCUGAGAACGGUGGCCCAGGUGUGGCAUGGCCUGCAGGACAUGCCACGUACGAGCCCUCGACCAGGCCUGAAGCUGAAGUUCAGCCCCUGCCCCCACUGGGGUCUUCAUUGACCGCUGAGAUGGGCUUCCUGCUCCAUCAACUGGAGAUUUUCCGAAGUUAAAUUCAAAGUUGCUAGUGGUUUUGAGUCACCUUUUCUUCUUUUUUUUUCAAUAGCGACUCUUGAGUGAAAAUUAGGCUGUUGUGUGGGUGGCUGUGAAGGGUGCCUCAUUUCCACAUCGGAGAGCUACCCACACAGCAGAUUUUGGUAGCACUUGAAGUGGGACCUGAUUUUGCCUCUCAGCUGCUAUAUUAAAAUAAAAAGCCCUUAAGCUGAUUAUAAAGAUACCA
RNAcentral lists this long non-coding RNA (1502 nucleotides) under Vulpes vulpes (red fox). RNAcentral describes it as "lncRNA (ENSVVUG00000001310.1)". The record is from RNAcentral. Lineage: Eukaryota; Metazoa; Chordata; Mammalia; Carnivora; Canidae.